GUGUACCACGCGUACACUGCGGUCCUGGGCGCGCCGUCCACGCCCACCUGACGACUGCGCGCUACAUUUUGUUAGCC
This 77-nucleotide small RNA is filed under the name Xanthomonas prunicola. RNAcentral describes it as "sX9 sRNA". It matches the Rfam family "Xanthomonas sRNA sX9". Lineage: Bacteria; Pseudomonadati; Pseudomonadota; Gammaproteobacteria; Lysobacterales; Lysobacteraceae. The record is from RNAcentral.